GACGAACGCUGGCGGCGUGCUUAACACAUGCAAGUCGAACGGAAAGGCCCUGCUUUUGUGGGGUGCUCGAGUGGCGAACGGGUGAGUAACACGUGAGUAACCUGCCCUUGACUUUGGGAUAACUUCAGGAAACUGGGGCUAAUACCGGAUAGGAGCUCCUGCUGCAUGGUGGGGGUUGGAAAGUUUCGGCGGUUGGGGAUGGACUCGCGGCUUAUCAGCUUGUUGGUGGGGUAGUGGCUUACCAAGGCUUUGACGGGUAGCCGGCCUGAGAGGGUGACCGGCCACAUUGGGACUGAGAUACGGCCCAGACUCCUACGGGAGGCAGCAGUGGGGAAUAUUGCACAAUGGGCGGAAGCCUGAUGCAGCAACGCCGCGUGCGGGAUGACGGCCUUCGGGUUGUAAACCGCUUUCGCCUGUGACGAAGCGUGAGUGACGGUAAUGGGUAAAGAAGCACCGGCUAACUACGUGCCAGCAGCCGCGGUGAUACGUAGGGUGCGAGCGUUGUCCGGAUUUAUUGGGCGUAAAGGGCUCGUAGGUGGUUGAUCGCGUCGGAAGUGUAAUCUUGGGGCUUAACCCUGAGCGUGCCUUCGAUACGGGUUGACUUGAGGAAGGUAGGGGAGAAUGGAAUUCCUGGUGGAGCGGUGGAAUGCGCAGAUAUCAGGAGGAACACCAGUGGCGAAGGCGGUUCUCUGGGCCUUUCCUGACGCUGAGGAGCGAAAGCGUGGGGAGCGAACAGGCUUAGAUACCCUGGUAGUCCACGCUGUAAACGGUGGGUACUAGGUGUGGGGUCCAUUCCACGGGUUCCGUGCCGUAGCUAACGCCUUAAGUACCCCGCCUGGGGAGUACGGCCGCAAGGCUAAAACUCAAAGGAAUUGACGGGGCCCCGCACAAGCGGCGGAGCAUGCGGAUUAAUUCGAUGCAACGCGUAGAACCUUACCUGGGUUUGACAUGGAUCGGGAGUGCUCAGAGAUGGGUGUGCCUCUUUUGGGGUCGGUUCACAGGUGGUGCAUGGCUGUCGUCAGCUCGUGUCGUGAGAUGUUGGGUUAAGUCCCGCAACGAGCGCAACCCUUGUUCACUGUUGCCAGCACGUUAUGGUGGGGACUCAGUGGAGACCGCCGGGGUCAACUCGGAGGAAGGUGGGGAUGACGUCAAGUCAUCAUGCCCCUUAUGUCCAGGGCUUCACGCAUGCUACAAUGGCUGGUACAGAGAGUGGCGAGCCUGUGAGGGUGAGCGAAUCUCGGAAAGCCGGUCUCAGUUCGGAUUGGGGUCUGCAACUCGACCUCAUGAAGUCGGAGUCGCUAGUAAUCGCAGAUCAGCAACGCUGCGGUGAAUACGUUCCCGGGGCUU
Molecule: ribosomal RNA, 1347 nt
Filed under: uncultured bacterium
Lineage: Bacteria
Description: partial 16S ribosomal RNA
Rfam family: Bacterial small subunit ribosomal RNA
Source: RNAcentral